AUCACUGUGAACCCUGAAGUCUCCUUUCAACCAUCACACUCUAGUUGUCACCUACUAAUAUUUUCCCUUUCUGUACUACACACAGUGAAAAUUAUCAUCACUAUUCCUUCUGCAAGUCCCCAGAUUGAGGGUUCAAGAGUAACACCCCAGAAGACUGUCUUUGCUGGCAAGGAAUUUAUUUGAGUCCUUUGGAGUAUUUUACCUGGAGUGCUGUUAAUGUUCUUCAAAAUAUGACCUGUCCAUCAGAUGUGGCUAAAUGAAACUAUCACAAAAACUAAAUCUACAGAUUCAACAAAUAUCAAGCAUCAGCUUGGAGAGUAAUGCACUGAGUUAUAAG
RNAcentral lists this long non-coding RNA (337 nucleotides) under Cricetulus griseus (Chinese hamster). Its description in RNAcentral is "lncRNA (ENSCGRG00000025512.1)". The record is from RNAcentral. Lineage: Eukaryota; Metazoa; Chordata; Mammalia; Rodentia; Cricetidae.